This 433-nucleotide ribosomal RNA is filed under the name uncultured bacterium. Its description in RNAcentral is "partial 16S ribosomal RNA". It matches the Rfam family "Bacterial small subunit ribosomal RNA", at positions 29 to 507 of the family's 1533-position model. The record is from RNAcentral.
AACGAACGCUGGCGGCAGGCUUAACACAUGCAAGUCGAGCGAGACCUUCGGGUCUAGCGGCGGACGGGUGAGUAACGCGUGGGAACGUGCCCUUCUCUACGGAAUAGCCCCGGGAAACUGGGAGUAAUACCGGAUACGCUCCCUGGGGGAAAGAGUGAUCGGAGAAGGAGCGGCCCGCGUUGGCUCAGGUAGGUGGUGGGGUAAUGGCCCACCAAGCCGACGUUGCAUAGCUGGUUUGAGAGGAUGAGCAGCCACACUGGUACUGAGACACGGCCCAGACUCCUACGGGAGGCAGCAGUGGGGAAUCUUAGACAGUGGGGGCAACCCUGAUCUAGCCAUGCCGCGUGAGUGAUGAAGGCCUUAGGGUUGUAAAGCUCUUUCAGCUGGGAAGAUAAUGACGGUACCAGCAGAAGAAGCCCCGGCUAACUCCGUG